Molecule: ribosomal RNA, 429 nt
Filed under: Verrucomicrobiota bacterium
Lineage: Bacteria; Pseudomonadati; Verrucomicrobiota
Description: Verrucomicrobia bacterium partial 16S ribosomal RNA
Rfam family: Bacterial small subunit ribosomal RNA
Source: RNAcentral
UAGGGAAUCUUCCGCAAUGGACGAAAGUCUGACGGAGCAACGCCGCGUGAGUGAAGAAGGAUUUCGGUUCGUAAAACUCUGUUGUUAGGGAAGAAAAAAUGUAUAGUAACUAUAUACAAAAGAGACGGUACCUAACCAGAAAGCCACGGCUAACUACGUGCCAGCAGCCGCGGUAAUACGUAGGUGGCAAGCGUUGUCCGGAAUUAUUGGGCGUAAAGCGCGCGCAGGUGGUUUAGAAAGUCUGAUGUGGAAGCCCACGGCUCAACCGUGGAGGGUCAUUGGAAACUAAUAAACUUGAGUGCAGGAGAGAAAAGUGGAAUUCCUAGUGUAGCGGUGAAAUGCGUAGAGAUUAGGAGGAACACCGGUGGCGAAAGCGGCUUUUUGGCCUGCAACUGACACUGAGGCGCGAAAGCGUGGGGAGCAAACAGG